UUACUAGAUGUGAAGAAGGUGCUUAUUCAGAGAGAAAUGUAUUUUAAGGUUUGAAAGAGUAACUAAUGGAAAACCUUGUUUUGACACCCAUCUCCUUCUGAACCUGGUGACUCUCAGCCCUGGAUGAACAGCAGAAUCGCUGGAGAGCUUUAAAAAUACUGAUGUUCAGGUCAUAUUCUUGGCCAGUUAAAUACAAAUCUCUUUGAGAGGCACACAGGCCUUAGAAAAAUGGGAACGUCAGGGACAGAAUGAACCACCGUGGCACCCACGUAUGGGAACUUUCAGAUGGGACUUGACGCCAUCAAAUGGGUUAAUGUUACUUGAUGCCGAUAGUACUUCUGAGAGAUUCUUUUCCCUUAUAGGUUAUUACAAAGUACUGAGUAUAGUUCCUUGUGCUAUACUAUUCUUCAUAUAAGUGAUAUCAUAUGAUAUGUCUUUAUCUGGCUUACUUCACUUAGUGUGAUAACCUCUAGGUAUAUCCAUGUUGAUACAAAUGGCAUUAUUUCAUUCUUUUUCUUUUCUUUUUUUUUACUGAGACAACAUAUUAAAAAGCAAAGACAUCACUUUACUGACAAAGAUCUGUAUAGUCAAAGCUAUACAGUAGUCAUGCAUGGAUGUGAGAGUUGGACCAUAAAGAAGGUUGAGUACCAAAGAAUUGAUGUUUUCAAAUUGUGGUCCUGGGAGAAGACUCUUGAGAGUCCCUUGGACUGCAAGGAGAUCAAACCAGUCAAUCUUAAGGAAAUCAACCCUGAAUAUUCACUGGAAGCACUGAUGCUGAAGCUGAAGCUCCAAUCCUUUGGCCACCUGAUGCGAAGAGCUGACUCAUUGGAAAAGACACUGAUGCUGGGAAAGACUGAGGCAAAAGGACAAGGGGGAAGCAGAUGAUAAGAAGGUUAGAUAGCAUCACCGACUCAAUGGACAUGAGUCUGAGCAAACUCUGGGAGACAAUGGAGGUCAGAGGAGAGAGUUGAGUCCUGGUGACCUACCAUCCAUGGGGUUGCAAACAGUUGGAGACGACUGAAUGACUGAGCAACAACAUCAAGUAUUCCAUUGUAUAUAUGUACUACAUCUUCUUUAUCCGUUUCUUUCAGUGGACAUUUGGGUUGCUUCCAUGUUUUGGAUGCUGUAAAACAUGGCUGUGAACAUUGGGGUGCGUGUAUCUUUCCGAACUACAGUUUUCUCCAGGCACAUGCUCAGGAGUGGCAUUGCUGGAUCACACGGUAGCUCUAUUUUUAAUUUUUGAGGAGCCUCCACACUUCUCUCCAUAGCGGCUGCACCAAUUUACAUUCCCACCGACAGCAUAGGAGGGUUCCUUUUUCUCCACACCCUCUGCAGCAUUUAUAAUUUGUAGACUUUUUGUUGACCUUUUGGACCAAGUGCUAACCUCUUUCAAUGUUAGUUUUCUUAUUCAUCCAACGGGGGACUAAUUUCCUUCAAAGUUGUGGCAAGGCUUUGUGAGUUGGUUAUUAGAUGCUGCUCUGUGUCCAGACGUCUCCUGCUCAGGUGGGCCCUGUGUUUGAGGAAGUGUGAGGUGCUGGGUGGAGUCGUGUACACUGUUCCCAGAACGUGCCCUCAGCCCUGUUGUGGUCUUGACAUCUCAGAGACAGCCGCUCUUGUAGAUGAAGCAGAGGGUUCUUCCCACAGCCAGGGUUUGGUCUGCUCAUUCUCAAAGACCUGGCAGGAAGAGGAACUCCAACAGGAGUGGGUGGGCACUGGGAGGGUGAUGAGACACUGAUCCACAGUUUUACCCCUUUGUAAAUCUCAGGCACACAGGUUAAAUUACUCAUAUCUCUCAAUAAAUUGAACCUCACCAUCAUUUUCCUGUUCUCAGCCCUUCUCCUUUUUUUUUUUUUUUUUUUUAAUUAAACAUAAUUUUUACCCUCAGUCUCAGGCUUCCCAGCAGUGCUAGUGGUAAAGAACCUUCUUGCCAAUGCAGGAGACAUAAGAGACUCAGGUUCAAUCCCUGGGUUGGGAAGAUUCCUUGGAGGAGAGUAUGGCAACCCACUCCAGUAUUCUUGCCUGGAAAAUUCCAUGGACAGAGGAGCCUGGCAGGCUACAGUUGCAAAG
Molecule: long non-coding RNA, 2067 nt
Organism: Bos taurus (domestic cattle)
Lineage: Eukaryota; Metazoa; Chordata; Mammalia; Artiodactyla; Bovidae
Source: Ensembl